AGAAGAAGAAGAAGAAGAAUAGGGAGAAGAGCAGUUUCAGGAGAGAAGAACCUGGAAUUUAGGGCCUGCAUUGCAUCGAACAAUCAUUGCAACUUCCCUUAACAGAUUUGAAUUGAUGCCCAAUGGAAAUCAAGCUCUAAUACCAUCUGUUACAAAGCAGUAUCCUCAAUUCCAGAGAAGACAAAAAUUAGGGAGAGAUAGAGAAAGA
This 208-nucleotide unclassified non-coding RNA is filed under the name Hevea brasiliensis (rubber tree). The record is from RNAcentral. Lineage: Eukaryota; Viridiplantae; Streptophyta; Magnoliopsida; Malpighiales; Euphorbiaceae.